Molecule: ribosomal RNA, 4560 nt
Filed under: Pulleniatina obliquiloculata
Lineage: Eukaryota; Foraminifera; Rotaliida; Pulleniatinidae
Description: partial 28S rRNA
Rfam family: Eukaryotic large subunit ribosomal RNA
Source: RNAcentral
ACAGGGAUAUAAAGCUAUUGCAUGCGAUGCUUAUUCUAUAAGCAUUUGCCUUUAAAUGCAAGCUUAGCCCGUCGAUCUAAUCUAACUCAUUGCUUGAACGUACUUCGGUACUUCAGCUGGGUGGAAGUGUAAGAAUCGAAUAACAAUUUAUGUUGGUUAUAAUAACCUUAUUAUAAUAACACUGCUUUAUUAUAAUAACUCGGUUUUAUUACUAAUUGUUAUAUACAAUAUAUAUACAAUACACAGCGCUUUAGCGUUGGAAAGCAAACGUCUGUAGUUUUACUACUGCCAUAGAGUGUGACAGCCACGUUCUAAAUUGCUAUUGUUAUAACAAUUAAAAAAAAAGUAAUAACCGUUGUUAUAUUAAGGUUUAAACCGUAAUUCGUGAUUGUUGAUACCAGAGUCGAGUUGUUUGGGACUACAGCUCAAAUCGUUUGGAGGUGGUAAUGACACAUCUAAGGCUAAAUAUUGGUGUUUACUAAUAACAUGCAAUGGAAACCGAUAGCAAACAAGUACCGUAAGGGAACGAUGAAAAGCACCCUUCAUAGCGCACUAUGUUAUUAUUUCUUAUUUAAUAAGAUCUAAUACAUACUAAGCUCCAAAGGGAGUGAAAGAGAGAGUGAAAUCGCCUAACAUUUAUAAAAUCGCUAACAGCGCUCUUUAAUAUAAUGUUAUAAUUCAGCGAAGUACAAUCGGACAGAGUGUCUUUGUAUCUCUUUUUUAAGGGAUUAUAAGCGGGCUAUUACAUUUCGAAAAUGUAAUAUGUUAUGCUAUAACAAUCUUAUUGUUAUUUUAACAAUAAGAUUAUCAGGACACAACUAUCUGACCCGUCUUGAAACACGGACCAAGGAGUUCAACUGGACUGCAAGUCUUAGAGAUUAUCAUUAAUCUCUUAAAAGGCAAAGCGAAAGCAAUGUUUAAUAUAUUAAGUGUUAAGUCUUUAUUCACACAAAGACUGCCACACAAGCUGUUUACGGUCAUAUUGUUAGAGCCUUUGUGCUGUGCAUAUGCAUUAACUUUAGCCUUUUGGUUAUAGUUUAAUGGUUAAACAAGCUUAUUGAGCAUUUUAGUUGAGACCCGAAAGAUGGUGAACUAUGCCCGGACAUGGUGAAGCCAGGUGAAAACUUGGUGGAAGCUUGCGUUGUGCGGAACUGACGUGCAAAUCGUUGCCGCCUGAUCUGGGUAUAGGGGCGAAAGACUCAUCGAACCAUCUAGUAGCUGGUUCCCUCCGAAGUUUCCCUUAGGAUAGCUCGAUAUUAUUCUUUUAAUUCUUAUUAAACAAAUGUGUAACACAAGGGUAAAGCAAUGAGACGCGGUAUCUGUGGGUCUUAUCUUUAAUGACCUCGGCCUUCUCUCAAACUUUAAAUCUGUGCGAUUUCAUAUGCUUUCUUAGAUUAGCCUAAUUUUAUUAGGUUAUAAGAAGCUAUGUAUAUCUUUUGGAUAUAUUAAAUUGUAACUAAAUAUCGUAGUGGGCCAUUCCUGGUAAGCAGGACUGGCGAUGAGGGAUUCAACCUGACGUUUUCAAGAUAAGCCGGGCUUAAUCUUAUCUGCUCCAACCUUCCGAUAAACGCGAAAGGGUGUUCCGUGUGGUGCAGACAGCAGGACGGUGGCCAUGGAAGUUGGAAUCCGCGUAAGGAGUGUGUAACAACUCACCUGCAGAAUCACACCGCCCCGAAAACGGAUGGCGCUCAAGCAGUUAAUAUAAUAGAUUUAUUCUAUUAUAAUACCCGACACUUGACCAUUGUUAUUAUAUCCAUAUAAUACAAUGAGUAGGAGGUUAUCAAUCGCGUGUGGAUAUACUUACGUGUGUUUAAUGUUUUAAUAAAACACCACGUUUUGUUUACGCUUAGAAGCGGCAUCUCGUAAGAGGCCGUUGAGCUAUCCAUAGUGCAGAUCUUGGUACUAGUAGCAAGGAGUCUUACUGAGAUAUCUUAAAUGGUUAUAAUCUGUUUAUUUAUAUAAACACUAUAACCUUCUUUUAACCGAGGAUGACCGAAGCGGAGAAAGGUUCCAUGUUGCAGCUUAGUGCGACGUGGGUGAGUCAGUCCUAAGGCUAAUGCCUGAAACAGGCUUUCAAUUCUGUUACAUCUUUUGUUUAAAUUAUAUUUCUAUUACUUGUAAUAGAUUUAUUAUAUUUAACAAAUCGUAACGGUUGGCUAAACGGGAAUCGGGUUAAUAUUCUCGAACCACUGUAUGACAGUCUUCUUAUUACACUCUAUUGUAAUAAUAAUCUUAUCGCGGCAACGCUAAAGUUGGGUUGUUUAUUUUAAAACGACCUCAACCACAAGGCAAGUUACUUGAGGCGAGAAUCCUGACAGGGUUAUCUAACCUGUUUAACCUUUUUGUUUAAAUAGAUUUAUUAAUCUAUUAAAAAACAAUAUAAUAAUAAUCUUAUAAUAAACAACAACCAAGUGUUGAGCGGCAUUUAGUGAACGAUGCACUUGGUUAUUUGCCCAUUAGUAAUGGGAAGAGCACUGGUGUCUGUAGAUUACUAUGUAUUUCUCUUAUUCUUAAUAAGAGCGGUAUCAUAUGUACUCUCAGGCAAUUUACCUGGUGUCUAUGGACUUCUUGUUCUCAGGCGUGAAAAGCUUGUCUCGUAUUUUAAUAGUUAUAUAACAAUAAUAAUACUAUUGUUAUAAUAACAAAACAAAACAAUAUAAUAACCACACACUGCUACAGUGUCUGUACUCAUAACCGCAUCAGGUCUCCAAGGUUUGCAGCCUUUGGUCGUAUAGAAAUACGGUGGGUAAGGGAAGUCGGCAAAUUCGGUCCGUACUUACGAUACAAGGACUGGCUCCGAAGGUGAAUGAAUUCCAUAGCUCUUAAUCUUUCUUAUCUAUUAAAGCUAUUUUCUUAUAAAUACGCUUUUAAUAAGAAACGCACUUUAGUGUAUAAUUGCUAUUGCGUAUAUAUCCCAACCUUUGAGAACUGGCACGGACUCGGGGAAUCCGACUGUUUAAUUAAAACAUAGCAAAGUGCAAUGUUUCUUUAUGUAGAUUGAUUUGCCUUUAAAGAUUCGUCUUUAAUACUAUCUCAGUCGCAUUACUUUUUUUAAUUAGUCCGAAGUGGAUUUGAACACUUUGUGUAUUCUGCCCAGUGCUCUGCAAGUUAUUCUGUGUGGAUACAGCAUUUUAAGCGCGGGUCAACGGCGGGAGUAACUAUGACUCUCUUAAGGUAGCCAAAUGCCUCGUCAUUUAAUUGGUGACGCGCAUGAAUGGAUCAACGAGAUUCCCACUGUCCCUACUCACUCUCUAGCGAAAUUACAGCCAAGCCAACGGUCUUGGGAUAGUACUUGUGUGUAAUAUUAUCAUGUGUCACAAGACAUAUAUUGUUAUUACAGUAAACACAAUAAACGGUUUAAUACAUUUACAAUACAGUGUCGUGUUAAUAGCACUACGACUGUUAUAAUAGUAUUAUAAUUGUUAUUAUAAUAACAAUGUUAUACUAAUAACGUACAACAGCGGGGCAAGAAGACCCUUUUGAGCUUGACUCUAAUCUGUUAUUGUCAUCUGGUCGGCAUGGCGAAGAUUGUAAGAGGCAGUGCAUUUAUUUGUACGACCAUGAAACACCGCUACUUGACGAUUUGGCUGACUAACUGUAUAGGCAUUGCCUUUUUACAGUGUUAGAAACAACAUACAUUUCCGGUCUAAAAGAGCUUAUAAUACUCAUUGUAUUAUACUCUUAACCGUUUAUGUAAGCAUUGUGGCAUUCGUUUCUUUUUAUAACGACCAUUGUUCUCUCGUCUUUUACUAAUCUUAUUAUUAGAUUUGUAAUAGGUUAUUAAUUUGUUAUAACCUUAGACUUGUUGAAAUGCCCUAUGCCAAUGAGCUACCAUUUUAAACAUAGCAUUACGAGCAUUGGACUACAGUGUCUGUAUUGAUUCUUUUUUAUUAGCUUCGGCUUUUAAUAGGAAUACAAAUCUAAUGACACAUACCCAUUAAUAGCAAUUGUACAGGACAUUUGCAGAAUGGGAGUUUGGCUGGGGUGGCACAUCUGUUAGAAUGCAACACAGGUGUCCCAAGGGCAGCUCCGUGAGAACAGAAACCUCUCAUCGAGUAUAAGGGCAAAAGCUGUCUUAAUCUAAGUACCUUCAGUAACGGUACACAAUGAAAUAUAAUACUUGCCUGUCUUAUGUUUACUCGUAAACAUGUAUGGCUUGUCUAGUGUGAAAGCACGGCCUAGCGAUCCUUUAGUGAACGUAUGAAUUCUAUGGUUUUUACUUAUGUGUAAUACAUUCUCUUAAAACGUAUUAAAUCUUUAACCAUUUAGUCUUAAAGAGUGUGUAUUUUACGAUUCUUAUCGUGGUUAUGCCAUUCUGUAUAAGUGCUAUAUUGGUAUUAUAAUAAGGUUUAUUACAUGUAUAAGAGAUUUAUUACCAUAAGACCUAUUACUUUUUGCGGCUAGAGGUGUCAGAAAAGUUACCACAGGGAUAACUGGCUUGUGGCCCCGGAGCGUUCAAAGCGAUGGGGCUUUUUGAUUCUUCGAUGUCGGCUCUUCCUAUCCUGCGGUUGCAUACGGCCGCAAGGGUAAGUUUGUUCACCUGCCAACAGGGAACGUGAG